UGGAUGUUGGUCUAGUUCUGUGUGGAAGACUAGUGAUUUUGUUGUUUUUAGAUAAUUAAAUUGACAACAAAUCACAGUCUGCCAUAUGGCACAGAUCAUGCCUCUACAG
Molecule: microRNA precursor, 109 nt
Organism: Gallus gallus (chicken)
Lineage: Eukaryota; Metazoa; Chordata; Aves; Galliformes; Phasianidae
Gene: gga-mir-7-1
Product: gga-mir-7-1
Source: Ensembl